AUUGAACGCUGGCGGCAGGCCUAACACAUGCAAGUCGAGCGGAUGAAGGGAGCUUGCUCCUGGAUUCAGCGGCGGACGGGUGAGUAAUGCCUAGGAAUCUGCCUGGUAGUGGGGGAUAACGUCCGGAAACGGGCGCUAAUACCGCAUACGUCCUGAGGGAGAAAGUGGGGGAUCUUCGGACCUCACGCUAUCAGAUGAGCCUAGGUCGGAUUAGCUAGUUGGUGGGGUAAAGGCCUACCAAGGCGACGAUCCGUAACUGGUCUGAGAGGAUGAUCAGUCACACUGGAACUGGGACACGGUCCAGACUCCUACGGGAGGCAGCAGUGGGGAAUAUUGGACAAUGGGCGAAAGCCUGAUCCAGCCAUGCCGCGUGUGUGAAGAAGGUCUUCGGAUUGUAAAGCACUUUAAGUUGGGAGGAAGGGCAGUAAGUUAAUACCUUGCUGUUUUGACGCUACCAACAGAAUAAGCACCGGCUAACUUCGUG
Molecule: ribosomal RNA, 484 nt
Filed under: uncultured bacterium
Lineage: Bacteria
Description: partial 16S ribosomal RNA
Rfam family: Bacterial small subunit ribosomal RNA
Source: RNAcentral